GGGUUGUGAGGUUAAGCGACUAAGCGUACACGGUGGAUGCCCUGGCAGUCAGAGGCGAUGAAGGGCGUGCUAAUCUGCGAUAAGCGCCGGUAAGGUGAUAUGAACCGUUAUAACCGGCGAUACCCGAAUGGGGAAACCCAGUGUGAUUCGUCACACUAUCAUUAACUGAAUCCAUAGGUUAAUGAGGCGAACCGGGGGAACUGAAACAUCUAAGUACCCCGAGGAAAAGAAAUCAACCGAGAUUCCCCCAGUAGCGGCGAGCGAACGGGGAGGAGCCCAGAGCCUGAAUCAGCAUGUGUGUUAGUGGAAGCGUCUGGAAAGGCGCGCGAUACAGGGUGACAGCCCCGUACACAAAAGCGCAUGUGCUGUGAGCUCGAUGAGUAGGGCGGGACACGUGGUAUCCUGUCUGAAUAUGGGGGGACCAUCCUCCAAGGCUAAAUACUCCUGACUGACCGAUAGUGAACCAGUACCGUGAGGGAAAGGCGAAAAGAACCCCGGCGAGGGGAGUGAAAAAGAACCUGAAACCGUGUACGUACAAGCAGUGGGAGCCCCACCACUAAGCCAGUGGUGAACUCCACAUACGCAUCCUUUGCUGAGGAUACGGUUAACGGAGCGAAAGCGACGUUCAACCUCAAAAGAAGCAGAGGGGGCUUAGUGGUGGGGUGACUGCGUACCUUUUGUAUAAUGGGUCAGCGACUUAUAUUCUGUAGCAAGGUUAACCGUAUAGGGGAGCCG
Molecule: ribosomal RNA, 735 nt
Filed under: Salmonella enterica subsp. enterica serovar Senftenberg
Lineage: Bacteria; Pseudomonadati; Pseudomonadota; Gammaproteobacteria; Enterobacterales; Enterobacteriaceae
Also listed under: 1 other name
Description: partial 23S ribosomal RNA
Rfam family: Bacterial large subunit ribosomal RNA
Source: RNAcentral